ACGCCAACAGUUGCCAGCUCGUCCUCCGGGAUGGUGGGGACGACUGUUCGGACGCCUCUGCUAAAGAGGAGGAAGGAAGUGGGCAACGGUAGGUCAGCAUGCCCCGAAUUAUCUGGGCUACACGCGGGCUACAAUGGGUGGGACAAUGGGUAUCGACACCGAAAGGUGAAGGCAAUCUCCUAAACCCAUCCGUAGUUCGGAUUGUGGGCUGCAACUCGCCCACAUGAAGCUGGAAUCUGUAGUAAUCGUGUCUCAAAAUGGCACGGUGAAUAUGUCCCUGCUCCUU
Molecule: ribosomal RNA, 286 nt
Filed under: uncultured Methanomicrobiales archaeon
Lineage: Archaea; Methanobacteriati; Methanobacteriota; Methanomicrobia; Methanomicrobiales
Description: partial 16S ribosomal RNA
Rfam family: Archaeal small subunit ribosomal RNA
Source: RNAcentral